Molecule: long non-coding RNA, 293 nt
Filed under: Elaeis guineensis (African oil palm)
Lineage: Eukaryota; Viridiplantae; Streptophyta; Magnoliopsida; Arecales; Arecaceae
Description: long non-coding RNA (EGUI_LNC036625)
Source: RNAcentral
AUGGACACCUGAGACAACUUCAGAAGGCACUGGAGGUCCUAAGAAGUUGUUUGACAUUCUACAUAUUUCCUGUGUCUGGAUUUAAGGUCUCAAGUAGACAGAUACCAAUUUAUCUGCUGGCAGACUCGCCACCCUGUAGCCAGAUACAUCGUUGUUCUUCAUAUUUUCGAACUUAGUAAAUGCUGGCGGGUGCUCAUGGUUGUUCAUUUGAAAGGAUGUAAUUUUUCAUUCACAUACAAGAAAACAAAUUGGAGGGGAAGGAUCUGAAAACAGCUACUCAAGUUUUUUUUCCC